RNAcentral lists this ribosomal RNA (274 nucleotides) under uncultured bacterium. RNAcentral describes it as "partial 16S ribosomal RNA". It matches the Rfam family "Bacterial small subunit ribosomal RNA", at positions 523 to 796 of the family's 1533-position model. The record is from RNAcentral.
AUACGGAGGGUGCGAGCGUUAAUCGGAAUUACUGGGCGUAAAGCGUACGUAGGCGGUUGGUUAAGUUAGAUGUGAAAGCCCCGGGCUUAACCUGGGAACUGCAUUUAAAACUAACGAACUAGAGUUGAGUAGAGGGGAGUGGAAUUCCAGGUGUAGCGGUGAAAUGCGUAGAGAUCUGAAGGAACACCAGUGGCGAAGGCGACUCCCUGGACUCGAACUGACGCUGAGGUACGAAAGCGUGGGUAGCAAACGGGAUUAGAAACCCCAGUAGUCC